GAGAGAGAGAGACAGAGAGAGGGGUGUAUAGUUUCCUUUUUUUCAAGAGGAGAUUGUUCUGAGGCAAUACUUCAUAUAGAAAUGUCGGUUUUGAGAAGCUAAAAAAUGUCAAAGGAAAGGACUGAGUCGCAGAUGAAGGCUGGGUUGAGACUUGAGAGCAGAACUAGUCUUGAGGGUGGUGUUCUUGUUCUUGGCCGCCAUUAGAGAGAGAGAGAGAGAAGGGGA
This 225-nucleotide unclassified non-coding RNA is filed under the name Hevea brasiliensis (rubber tree). Lineage: Eukaryota; Viridiplantae; Streptophyta; Magnoliopsida; Malpighiales; Euphorbiaceae. The record is from RNAcentral.